AAAAAACAAUAGCAAUGUUACGCCAUAUGAUUAAACUCACAUGUACCAAGCCUAAAUUACCUGGCUCUGGGUUUUGCAGCAUUCUUAGGAGAGGGAGAUGGUUCUGUUGGGAUAAAUCUCUUACAAAUUACUGAAUUGAAUUACUAUUCAACACACACUAAUGAUAUCCUUACAUCUUGUUCCAUAAUUCCCAUGGACCUCGCUUCAUCUCUCUUCCUGGGAUGAUUAAUAGUUACUUGUUUCAAAAAUGCUACAUUGACGUUGAAUCAUUCACAGGAGUAGAUGCCACUAAACCAUUUGAGAAACACAUUAGUAUUUGAUGUCUUUUGGAUCAAGUUGAGUGAAUUUGUAGUUGUGAAGCACUUCUGGAACCAUGGAACAAGGUAAAGGAAGCAAAGUGAAAGUAUUU
This is a non-coding RNA of Pelobates cultripes (western spadefoot toad), 409 nucleotides long. NCBI's taxonomy places the organism in Eukaryota, Metazoa, Chordata, Amphibia, Anura, Pelobatidae. The record is from the annotation of a GenBank genome assembly.